Molecule: non-coding RNA, 786 nt
Filed under: Ectropis obliqua
Lineage: Eukaryota; Metazoa; Arthropoda; Insecta; Lepidoptera; Geometridae
Source: RNAcentral
AUAAAUAAAUUUUAUAUGGUUUAAAAAAUUUAUUUUAAAUUUAUUUUACAUAUAAAUUUUAGUAUAUAAUAAUAAUUAUUUUAAAAAUAAUUAUUAUUUAAAUGUAGUAAUUAAUAUUAAAAAUUUAAUAAAUUAAGAUUUAGUAAUAUUGAAAUUAUUAACAAAUUUUGUGCCAGCAGUUGCGGUUAUACAAAAGUUAAAUUAAAUUUUAUUAGUUAAAUUAAUAAUUAAUUAUUUAUUAAAUUAAAAUUGAAAUUAUUAAGUGAAAUUUUAAUUAUAAAUUAAUUUAUUUAUAAAUAUUUAUGAAUUUAAUAAAUUUUAAUAAUAAACUAGGAUUAGAUACCCUAUUAUUUAAAAUUUAAAUUUAAAAUACUAAAAUAGUAUAUAAUUAUUUAUUGAAACUUAAAUAUUUUGGCGGUAUUUUAGUUUAUUUAGAGGAAUCUGUUUAUUAAUUGAUAAUCCACGAAUAAAUUUACUUAAUUUAUUAUUUUGUAUAUCGUUGUUAAAAAAAUAUUUUUAAAAAAUUUAUAAUAUUUUAAAAUUAUAAUAAAAAUUAAAUCAAAUCAAGAUGCAGAUUAUAAUUAAGAAUAUAAUGGAUUACAAUAAAUUUAUUUAAAUGAAUUUUAAUUUGUAAAAAUUAAAUGAAGGUGGAUUUAAAUGUAAAUUUUUUUUAAUUUUUAAAAUUGAUUAAAAAUUAAAAUAUGUACAUAUUGCCCGUCGCUUUCAUAUAUAAAUUGAAAUAAGUCGUAACAAAGUAGAGGUACUGGAAAGUGUUUCUAGAAAGAA